UCCAUAAUUCUAGAACCCUCCAUCUUCCUCAUUAGCACAAAAUAGACUCCAAAUUUUCUAACCCUUCUGAAUAGAAGAAUCGAGUUCUUCCAUCUCUCUUCCUCCAACCCCAACAACAAUGAAUCAUAUGAUUCUUCAUAAGCCUUAAGAGUGAGGUCAAUAUGCUGCAUUCUCAAAGGGAUUCAUGUGUCCUUCGUCAUAUUUCUCGAGAUAUUCAAUGAUGCUUUACUCAAUGGUUGAAUGUGCAUCAUCACUCGCUCGACUUAGACCAGAUGUGGUAUUUGCUCACAAGCUUGAAUAGAAUAUAUUUAUUUAUAUUCAAACUCACUACCGCAAGUGUAAUAUGCUUCACAUUUCCAAUAUAUCAAGUAUUUUGGUUCAGCUAAGACAACUAACAUGAGUGCAGAACAAAUAUGGAUAUUUGUUAGUGCUAAUUGUCCCAGGUACGUUAUUCCUCUUUGUCUCUAAUAUUAUGAAAUGACAAUACAUGAGUUUAUCAUUGAUUCUACUUAUUUACGAGACUUGUCUGACAAAUUUUUCAAUGAAAGGUGUACUUCAUGAAGAGUCUCUUAUUACUUAUCCAAAAAGAUAUAGGUCAUUUAGAGUCGGUUUUGAAAAUAAUAUUGUUAUUCUAAAGAAGUUAAAUUUGUUUAGAGUACUAAUUUUGGCUAUCUGUUUC
Molecule: long non-coding RNA, 679 nt
Organism: Solanum stenotomum
Lineage: Eukaryota; Viridiplantae; Streptophyta; Magnoliopsida; Solanales; Solanaceae
Exons: 3
Source: RefSeq, a predicted model, not a curated record